GGAUCAGUACGCUGGUCGUGCCUUGGUACGCACUGGUGUCACUGAUUCCUCCCUUCUGAAGAACCGUUAUGCCAUUUAUUUGGUGUGAUGGGGAAUCAGGACUGUUACUUUGAAAAAAUUAGAGUGUUUAAAGCAGGCUCACGCUUGAAUACAUUAGCAUGGAAUAACGGAAUAGGACGUUUGAUUCUAUUUUGUUGGUUUCUAGGAUCGACGUA
This 215-nucleotide ribosomal RNA is filed under the name Campeiostachys nutans. RNAcentral's name for it is "Elymus nutans partial small subunit ribosomal RNA". The stretch from base 37 to 215 matches the Rfam family "Eukaryotic small subunit ribosomal RNA", at positions 684 to 864 of the family's 1831-position model. The record is from RNAcentral. Lineage: Eukaryota; Viridiplantae; Streptophyta; Magnoliopsida; Poales; Poaceae.